This 77-nucleotide transfer RNA is filed under the name Gammaproteobacteria bacterium SG8_11. RNAcentral describes it as "tRNA-Arg". It matches the Rfam family "tRNA". Rfam says of the family: Transfer RNA (tRNA) molecules are approximately 80 nucleotides in length. Their secondary structure includes four short double-helical elements and three loops (D, anti-codon, and T loops). The record is from RNAcentral. RNAcentral also lists the same sequence under 1 other name. Lineage: Bacteria; Pseudomonadati; Pseudomonadota; Gammaproteobacteria.
GCCCCGAUAGCUCAGUAGGAUAGAGCGCACCCCUCCUAAGGGUGAGGCCGCAGGUUCGACUCCUGCUCGGGGCGCCA